GGAAUUUAAUUUUGUUGUCAGAGUAGUAAUAGUUAAGAUCUUGAAACUCAAAAAAUUUGGCGGUAUUUUAGUCUAUUUAGAGGAACUUGUAAUGUAAUCGAUAAUCCACGUUGGACCUAACUUAGUUUUGUAAUAUUUCAAUUUGUAUACCGCCGUUUUUGAAAAUUUUAUCAGGAAAAUAAUUUUCAAAAUUUUUUAUAGAAAAAUAAGUCAGGUCAAGGUGCAGUUAAUAAUUAAGUUUUUUAUGAGUUACAAUAAAUUUAUUUAAGCGAAUUAUAAAAUGAAAUUUUUAUAUGAAGAUGGAUUUAAAAGUAAACUUUUAAAGAUAAAAAUGUUGAUU
This 340-nucleotide ribosomal RNA is filed under the name Medetera jacula. Its description in RNAcentral is "partial 12S ribosomal RNA". Lineage: Eukaryota; Metazoa; Arthropoda; Insecta; Diptera; Dolichopodidae. The record is from RNAcentral.